UACGUAGGGUGCAAGCGUUGUCCGGAAUUAUUGGGCGUAAAGAGCUCGUAGGCGGUUCGUCGCGUCGGCUGUGAAAUCCCGAGGCUCAACCUCGGGUCUGCAGUCGAUACGGGCGGACUGGAGUUCGGCAGGGGAGACUGGAAUUCCGGGUGUAGUGGUGGAAUGCGUAGAGAUCCGGAGGAACACCAGCGGCGAAGGCGGCAUCCUGGACUGGUCCUGACACUCAUGAGCGAAAGCGUGGGGAGCGAUCCGG
RNAcentral lists this ribosomal RNA (253 nucleotides) under uncultured bacterium. Its description in RNAcentral is "partial 16S ribosomal RNA". It matches the Rfam family "Bacterial small subunit ribosomal RNA", at positions 524 to 776 of the family's 1533-position model. The record is from RNAcentral.